This 254-nucleotide ribosomal RNA is filed under the name uncultured bacterium. Its description in RNAcentral is "partial 16S ribosomal RNA". It matches the Rfam family "Bacterial small subunit ribosomal RNA", at positions 545 to 793 of the family's 1533-position model. The record is from RNAcentral.
UCGGAAUACUGGGCGUAAAGCGCGCGUAGGCGGUUAUUUAAGUGAGGUGUGAAAUACCCUGGGCUCAACCUAGGAACUGCAUUUCAAACUGGAUAACUUGAGUAUGUCAGAGGGUAUUGGAAUUUCCCCGUGUAGCAGUGAAAAUGCGUAGAUAUGGGAAGGAACAUCAGUGGCGAAGGCGAAUACCUGGGAUAAUACUGACGCUGAGGUGCGAAAGCGUGGGGGAGCAAACGGGGAUUAGAUACCCCUGGUAG